AUGAUGCUCGGGCGCGGGCGCGCAGGGACGCCGGAGUUCGACCUCGUGUUCGCACCGUGGUCUCGCCGCGCUGGGGCGACUGCAAUUUCCAUGCCGUUCCUGGUGCCGUUGGCGCUCUGGGGAGUGCCCGCAAAUGCGUGGACGAAGCGAACGGCGGAGGUGCUUCUCCAUGGCUUGGGCAUUGUGGUCAAGGUGGCGUCUUCGACGGCGUCUAGAAAUGACAUGGCAGGUUUCAAGGUCUGGUUGAGGACGGAUGAUCCAGCCCGCAUCCCGCCCAAGCGCAUCCUAGUCGUCGAGGAACAGGGUAGUCGCGGUGAGCUCGUUCUAGCCGCCGCAAAUGGCGGGGAUGCCUUGUGGUACCCGGUGCGUAUUACCCAGGAAGGCAGCGCUAUUCGGGUGGGCGACUUUGCCGGUGCGAAGCCGCCGCCACCGCCGCCGCCGCCGUCGCCGUCGUCGGGUGAUGAUAACCAUGGUGGUCAGGAUAGGGCAUCUCGGGGCAUCCGGCCUGGCCUCAUGCACCACGCCCCCUGCCUGGGGCCUCUCCGGGUGCGUCCUCGUCGGCGUCGGCCCCAUUGCCGGCGGCUCAGGGCGGCGCCCAGGAGCUGGAUGGUCAACAAAGCAGGUUUGACUGCUCAGCGGUGGAUUCAAGCGGUGGUGCUGGCGUGA
RNAcentral lists this ribosomal RNA (666 nucleotides) under Triticum aestivum (bread wheat). RNAcentral describes it as "partial small subunit ribosomal RNA". The record is from RNAcentral. Lineage: Eukaryota; Viridiplantae; Streptophyta; Magnoliopsida; Poales; Poaceae.